This 1170-nucleotide long non-coding RNA is filed under the name Sus scrofa (pig). RNAcentral's name for it is "lncRNA (ENSSSCG00050021770.1)". The record is from RNAcentral. Lineage: Eukaryota; Metazoa; Chordata; Mammalia; Artiodactyla; Suidae.
CAUCAAAUGUUAAAAGGUGGGGAGAAGAGCCAAAGUAAUUAGAGAUGGACACUGCUGGGGCCUGACCGCUACGUCAUUGCCGUGAAACCAACAAAAGGCAGAGACUGUGAAAGACAGUAAGACACCUUUUUUCUUCGUCCGGAUAUAAAGCUACUGGGCCUUAAAUAACAUAAAACUCCACUGUGAAUGUGAAAGGCGACAUGCUCUGAAUUGUCAGCCCUCCACGACAUUUAUGCCCCGCCGGGAGGAUGGUAUGUGUUGGGGGUUUUCGUAUAUAAAGACACAGCUGAAAAUGGGCUUUUUAUCUAAAUGAACAGACUGAGGCCAUUCAAAGUCAGAAGAAUUGGAGGGCCAGAGGGAAGGAGUGGAGAGAAGUAACGGGGUAGGGGGUAAAUAAAGAAGGAAUCAAUGACUUUCGGAUAAACUAGAAUGUUUUUAUUGUCAGAUGGUGUUGAAAAAUCCCUGUAGAGGUUUUCCCAGCAGAGGCUGAUGUGGAAACCAAGAGCUGGAGCAGGAGGGUGGACGAUCUUAACCUGCAGGGCAGCAGGAGCACCAGCUGGACCUGAGGUGCACACAGCCCUGAGGCAGGGGGACAGCCAUUUACAGGAGGUGGACAAGCUUCACAUCAGAAAAAACUGGCUCCACAUCUGAUUGACUCUUUCUAACCUAGAUGGUCCCGUUCUGAAGACAGAGCUUCAGAAGCCCUACAGCACAGCACCGCCUCUUCUCAUCAGCUACCUCCCGGCCUCUGCUCCUGCAGGAUGCGGACCUCCUGGAAGAGAUUUAGGGAGCGUCCGGACUCACAGCAACAGCUGUGGAGGAGUUCAGCCUUCUCUCACAAGCAUAGAAAGACAACCAUCGAUGAAAAGACUAGAGCCCACCAGCAAAGAUCUUCUAUAACUAAAGACAUAAAGGAGGAACCAUGAUGAGACAGGUAGGAAUGAUGCAUUCAUGAUAUAAGUCCCAUAUCCCCAGGUGGGUGACCCACAAAUUGGAGAAUAAUUACAUUGCAGAGGUUCUCCCACAGAAGUGAGUUUGGAGCCCCAUGUCAGCCUCCCCAGCUCAAAGAUCCUGCACUGGGAAGAUGAGCCCCCAGAGAAUUUGCCUUUGAAGGUCAGGAGGGCUUAAUAUUGAGUAACAGAGGAUGGGGCAUAGGUGUGGGGAGGGGAG